Molecule: long non-coding RNA, 631 nt
Organism: Homo sapiens (human)
Lineage: Eukaryota; Metazoa; Chordata; Mammalia; Primates; Hominidae
Gene: TP53RK-DT
Product: TP53RK divergent transcript
Source: Ensembl
CUCCGUACACGUUCGGCAACGCUCAGUAAGUGGCUCUUCCCGACUCCUUGGCUCUCCGGAAAUCUUCGGUGACUCUCGCAGCCGGCUUUGGGGGCCCACCUCUCAGUUGGUCGUCUCUUUCCGGAAAACUUCGGCGCCUCUCGAGAAAAACGUCGGACGCGCUUUGCUCUCUUCAGAAGUCUCUUCCGGGACAGCUGUACCCUCUAGUAGUCUCUUUUUGGAACUCCUCUUCCCCUGACUCCUACAUUCCCCCCAAAAUGUGCUCAUACAAGUCAGAGUCGGAAGGGUCAGACAAUGAACCAUGUUUCCGACAUCCUCUUAAGUGCUAGGAUAACUACCAUUUAGUGCAUUCAGAAGAAAUAAGGUUAAAUGAUGAAAAUCCUUACAGAAAAGAAAAUUGAGACUCAGAGCUGGCAGAGGGGGUGGUAAGAUGGGGUGGGGAGUGGGGGCUGGGGAAUCCGGGAAAGUCUUCCGGAGACAGAACCUAAACUGAAUUGGGAAUAAUUAAACUUUUUCAGUUUCUACCUGUUUCAUUACAAAGCUUAUAAUAACACAGGCUGUAGCAAAUUCUUACAAUACGGAACUUUGCACACGCACACAUAAAUAAAUAAACUACCUAUCCCCCUUGUGA